UUGUGGUGACCAUAAACUCCACACUACCGACUUCUCCAGCGGGCCCGUAGUCAGGCGACGGCGAGAGCGGCCCGCAGCCUGGCGGUCCCUGGCUGUGACGUCACGCCCCCACCGCGGCGCGACCGGCCGGAGCUCAGUUCAUCGCCUGCGCUCGGACAGAGGCUCCCAGAGAUUCGCACCGAACUUUGAAGGCCGCUAUAAUGGCCCACAAUGAGAUACGAUGGACAGACGCCCUACCCAUCGUGCUUUUGGGUCUACGGACGGCGUGGAAGGAAGACUUACACUGCUCAGCGGCAGAAAUGGUCUAUGGUGAGCCUCUGAGGAUCCCUGGGCCAUAAAUCUCCAAGGGGGGUGGUGUGGUGACCAUAAACUCCACACUACCGACUUCUCCAGCGGGCCCGUAGUCAGGCGACGGCGAGAGCGGCCCGCAGCCUGGCGGUCCCUGGCUGUGACGUCACGCCCCCACCGCGGCGCGACCGGCCGGAGCUCAGUUCAUCGCCUGCGCUCGGACAGAGGCUCCCAGAGAUUCGCACUGAACGCACGCCGCUUUUCUCCGCCUUAUCGCUAGCCUCUGCUUACGCGCGUUACAUCUAUAUUGUACAUAGCUUCUUUCUGUCGCCUAACUUUCUUCCGCACUUUGCACGCAUUUUGUUAUUUUAUUUUCUUAGUUAUUAUAAACUUUAUAUGGA
Cydia splendana is the source of this 689-nucleotide long non-coding RNA. RefSeq lists it as uncharacterized. The record is from RefSeq and is a predicted model, not a curated record. Lineage: Eukaryota; Metazoa; Arthropoda; Insecta; Lepidoptera; Tortricidae. The transcript is spliced from 2 exons.